Pelobates cultripes (western spadefoot toad) is the source of this 303-nucleotide non-coding RNA. The record is from the annotation of a GenBank genome assembly. NCBI's taxonomy places the organism in Eukaryota, Metazoa, Chordata, Amphibia, Anura, Pelobatidae.
AAUAUUGGGACAUAUAAAAAAAGACAACUCUGUUCCGCAGAGUAGCUGUUGACAUUGUAGUUGCGCAGGAACUUUGUUGACUCUAGAGAACCUCGGGCAAAUCGCACAUCCCCGUGGCGGCAACUUUGCAUGCGGAUGUCAUCCAUAUCAAUUUUUGAUGCCAGUUUCUGUGCCUACCAUGGUGACCACGGGUAACGGGGAAUCAGGAUUCCAUUCCGUACAGGGACACUAAGAAACGGCUACCACAUGCAAGGAAGGCAGCAGGCACGCAUAUGACCCACUCCUGAUGCGGGAAGGUAGUGA